GGCAGCAGUGGGGAAUCUUCCGCAAUGGACACAAGUCUGACGGAGCAACGCCGCGUGAGUGAUGAAGGUUUUCGGAUCGUAAAACUCUGUUGUUAGGGAAGAACAAGUAUCGGAGUCACUGCCGGUACCUUGACGGUACCUAACGAGAAAGCCACGGCUAACUACGUGCCAGCAGCCGCGGUAAUACGUAGGUGGCAAGCGUUGUCCGGAUUUAUUGGGCGUAAAGCGCGCGCAGGCGGUCUUUUAAGUCUGAUGUGAAAUCUUACAGCUUAACUGUAAGCGGUCAUUGGAAACUGGGAGACUUGAGUGCAGAAGAGGAGAGUGGAAUUCCAUGUGUAGCGGUGAAAUGCGUAGAGAUAUGGAGGAACACCAGUGGCGAAGGCGACUCUCUGGUCUGUAACUGGCGCUGAGGCGCGAAAGCGUGGGGAUCAAACAGGAUUAGAUACCCUGGUAGUCCACGCCGUAAACGAUGAGUACUAAGUGU
This 484-nucleotide ribosomal RNA is filed under the name uncultured Bacillota bacterium. Its description in RNAcentral is "bacterial SSU rRNA". It matches the Rfam family "Bacterial small subunit ribosomal RNA", at positions 347 to 823 of the family's 1533-position model. Lineage: Bacteria; Bacillati; Bacillota. The record is from RNAcentral.